UUGGCUUGGCUCAGUGCUGCUCAGGAUGUUCUGCUGCCUAGGUAGGUGCGUUCAGUGUUGCUUAGUCUGGCAUGGCUCAGCUCAGCUCAGCUAGGGUCAUGAUGGCACCCAAAUAGAUUCAGUUCAGCACAGCUUGGGGCAUUUUGCCAGCUCAGUAGACAUGGCUCAUCUCGGUCAGCGCAGCUCAGCUCAGCUCAGCCCUGCUCAGGACAUUUUGCCACCUAAGUAGGCACAACUCAGCUUGGUCCAGCUUGGCACAGCUCAGCUCAGAACAGCGCAGGACACCGUGCCACCUCAAUUUGCACAGCUCAGCUCAGCACAGACCAGGAGAUGAUGAUGUGCCAGAUAGUCACAGUUUGGCUUGACUUGGCUUGGCUUGGCCCAGCUGAGCACAAGACAUUGUGCCACCUCAGUAGGCACAAUUCACCUCAGCUUGGCAUAGCUCAGUCUUGCUUGGGACACGAUACCACUCAUUUAAGCUGAGUUUGGCUUGGCCCAGCUCAGCUCAGCUGAGCCCUGCCCUGCCCUGUACAUUGUGGUACCUCAGUAGGCAUGGUUCAGCUUGGCACAGCUCGGUUCGACUCAGCUCAGAACAUUCUGCCACCUAGAUAGGUGCAAUUCAUCUCAGCUCAGCUUGGUUCAGCACAGCUCAGGACAGUCAGGACACUCAGGUAGACUCAGCUCAGUUUGGCCUGGCUUAGCACAGCUUGGGAUGUCAUACCACGUACAGGACAGCUGAGCUCAUCUUGGCACAACUCAGGACAAGGCACCACCUAGGCAGGCACAGCUUAGCUUGACAUAGCUUAGCUUGGCUUGGCUCAGCACGUCUUGAGACAUCAUGCUGCCUAAAGAGGCACAGCUUAACUCAGCAGAGCUUGACAUGGCUCAGCAUGACUCAGCUCAGCAUGGCUUAGGACAUCAUGGUACCUAGGCAGGCACAGUUCAGCUUGAUGUGGCUCAGAUCUGCUCAACGCAGCUCAGCUCAAUUCAUCUCAGCCCAGCAUGGUUCAACUCGGUUCAGUAUGGCUUGGUUAUACAGCACCGACAGCACAGCUCAGCUCAGCUUGGUUUGGCACAGCUCAGCACGUCAUGCCACCUAGGUAAGCACAGUUCAGCUCAGCUUGGUUCAACUUAGCUCAGCUUGGCUUGGUUUGGCCUGGCACAGUUUGGCUCAGGCAGAGCUUCCUGGCAGGAAGUGCCAUGGCAUCCAGGGAGGCUUGGCAGGAGGGAGGCUGCCUGAGCCAGAAGCAGUGCCACCAGCACCCACACCCCGUGGGACAGGGGAGCACAGGGCAUGGCCACCAUCAGGGCCAGCCCUCAAUCGGGUCCCCCUGCACAGGGCAGCGCCCUCAGGCCCUGCUGGGGAGCACCAGAGGAGCAGUGGCUGCCCAGCUCCUGCUUGCCUUGGCCAGCCAUGCUCAUUUCCUCAGUGCCCAGAGCAGGCAGCCCCAAGUCAAGCACCCAGAGGCCAGGAAAGCCAGACCGUACCUUGAGGCACUUCUGGGACACUUGCAGCUCUCAGUGUGGCAUCUUGCUGCUUUCAGGGCCGCUCAGGAAGAUCUCAGACACCACAAACUGGGGCAGGCUGGCAUGUCCAGCCUCAUGGGAGAGGAACAACCCUGGGCAGAAAUAGCCAGGAGGAAAAAGCUGCCCUGCCCCGUGGAGUUUUUCUUCAUUCCUUGAAGGCCACAGGGACCUGCUGUGCGGGAUUCAGGGCUGGAGGCAACGCCAGGGCAGCGCCAAGGUGGAGCUGUCGUGAUGGAUGAUGUGACAUCAUUCCCAAAUGCCUCUUCCACAGGCAAAGGUCUCAAAGUGAUCCCCUCUCCCCUGGAAGGCCAGCAAGCUCAGUGUCGGGCACAGCGAGCUGAAUUUCCCUCUCCUGCUGCUCCAUCUCUCCGCUCUAGCUCUGAGCAGAGCUCCCCCCAGCCAGCGGGGGCUCCUGCCUCCCUUCCCUGCACUCCUGUGGUGCUGCAAGACCGAGAUGCUCAGCUAUUGUCGAACUGUGCUGGGUCCCACGUCCCUGAGGAAGAAAACAAGCCGGUCCCCAUCCUGAGAAGGAUGCUCCGAGAGCAUCACCUCCACAGGAGACAGGCAGGGAGGAUGCCGUGUCUCCCGUGUCUCCUCCACUUCCCAGCCCGAGCCAGACUUGAGGACACACAAACAAGACACGGUGCCUCGCUUCACAUUCGGCCUCCUGCCUUCCUCCCAGCUGAAGGAAAUUGCUCAGCGUGCAUUUCCGUACUGCUCUCCGCUGACAAAGCUGCCGCCGGAGCGGUGAGAUGAGGGGCUGGCUGCCCUCCGCCCCCACCAUCACCGCCCCACGCUCCAGGUGCCGCAGCGAGAACCAGCACUGGAAGGGUCCCAGGCGGAGCCGGUGCGCUCCGCUCCCGGUUCCCGGCGUGGAAGUGCGAGGCCGGCGGGGAACACGCUGCCUCAGCCCCGACCACAUGGGCAUGGACGCCUGCCCUCAUCCUGCUUCCCCCUGCCAGGGUUCCUGCAUGCUCUGAGCAGCACAUCCUCUUCCUCCCGCCGACUCAUUGGGGCCGGCCGAGGCUGGCAU
Molecule: non-coding RNA, 2560 nt
Organism: Zonotrichia albicollis (white-throated sparrow)
Lineage: Eukaryota; Metazoa; Chordata; Aves; Passeriformes; Passerellidae
Source: RefSeq, a predicted model, not a curated record